CAGUCGCCGCGGGAAUACGGAGGGUGCAAGCGUUAUCCGGAUUUAUUGGGUUUAAAGGGUCCGUAGGCGGACUUAUAAGUCAGUGGUGAAAGCCUGUCGCUUAACGAUAGAACUGCCAUUGAUACUGUAAGUCUUGAGUAUAUUUGAGGUAGCUGGAAUAAGUAGUGUAGCGGUGAAAUGCAUAGAUAUUACUUAGAACACCAAUUGCGAAGGCAGGUUACCAAGAUAUAACUGACGCUGAGGGACGAAAGCGUGGGUAGCGAACAGGAUUAGAUACCCGAGUAGUCCCUGUCUCUUAUAA
Molecule: ribosomal RNA, 301 nt
Filed under: uncultured bacterium
Lineage: Bacteria
Description: partial 16S ribosomal RNA
Rfam family: Bacterial small subunit ribosomal RNA
Source: RNAcentral